This is a long non-coding RNA of Malus domestica (apple), 481 nucleotides long. RefSeq lists it as uncharacterized. The record is from RefSeq and is a predicted model, not a curated record. Lineage: Eukaryota; Viridiplantae; Streptophyta; Magnoliopsida; Rosales; Rosaceae.
CUUAACUCUCUCUGCUCCUCACAAAACACCCGCAAAACCUGGACGUCAGAGAAAAACAGCAAAAGGGCAUCACUUAUAAAUGUCUCUCAUGGAACCCCCCAGGAAGAAGAAGCACUGCAUUCAACAAGUGUUCGUACUUGUCGGAUUUCCUCUUUGUUUGGUCCUAAGAUCGAAUCUUCGUCGCAUGUUGAACAUGGGAAGCUUCUGGUUCUUUGUUCAGUUUGGUCACUUGUUCUUGGUCUUGUUCCUUCUAAUUGGAUAUCGGAGCUCAACAACAUUGGUUUCAUUUGCGAUACUUUUUGUUCCAGAUCUCCGCUGCUGCAUUGCUUCUGCUCUAAAAAUGACAACAGUAGUCAGUAGAGAGAUUGUCUAGCCAUUUUUUUCUCUUUGUUUACCUUAUUUUCUGCUAUGUUUAUGGGAAAGCUCAGUCAUUUUUUCUGAUGCUUAAACAAUCUAAAUUGACACAAUAUUUAGACUCAAA